Schizosaccharomyces pombe (fission yeast) is the source of this 666-nucleotide non-coding RNA. NCBI's taxonomy places the organism in Eukaryota, Fungi, Ascomycota, Schizosaccharomycetes, Schizosaccharomycetales, Schizosaccharomycetaceae. The record is from the annotation of a GenBank genome assembly.
UUCAAGUGGGUUGUUAGGCAAUCGAUGUUUACCGAAUUUUUUCUUCUUCAGUUUGAUUUCAGUUGUGCUAGAAGAAACAGCCUUAUUAGAGAAUUUCUCAGCUUUAUCCUUUUGCUGCAGUUUUUUGGAUAUUGCAGGAGCUUUGUCGAUCGUCCUCAGAAGCUCUUCAUUUUUCUUUUGCUCAAGUAAUCUAAGCUCCUCCUCUCUUCUUUGGCGUAUCUUAUUUCUUUGAGACCUGGUUUUUCGUUUGUUCUUCGAAGAAGGGAUCGGAGUUUCUGCUUGUUCGUGUUCAGACUGGUCAUCAGAAUCAAUGCUGUGAUUAACGUCUUGGUCUGAAACUAAUCCCUUGUCUUCAAAAGCUUUCUUCUGUAUUCUUUCCUUUUCCUCUAAUUCACUAAUUCUUUUCUGUUCUUUCUUAAGUUCCUCUGAACCUUUGGUAUCAAGUAGCUUCAUCCAAGCUGCAGCGUCAGGAUUGUAUGACAUUCCUGGAUCAGCGAUAACAACAUUUGGGACUUUUGCAUUAUUCUCAGUUAAAGAUUCGGGUAGUUUAGAUAAUGUAGAAGGUCUUUUAACAGGUAUAGUAACUGUUGGGUUUGUUUCCCAAACAUCAUAACUUUCCUUUGGUUGUUUGGUAUUUUUGAGCUCACUAGCAGCAGAAGUUGCGGU